AGGCUACUAUACUAUCGGUAGCACGGAGCGUUCCGUAGUACCAAGUUGUUUUCGAUGAUGCGGCUUCCAAAUCGACGAUCGGCUCUGUUAGACUUGAUCUACACUAUUAAAAGUAUUUAGAAACUAAAUUUCAUAAUUUUUCGAUAUCAUUUACCUAUCAAACAACUAGUCUAAAAUUGAACGGCUAAAAAUAAAAAUCUCAUAAAAAAUGAUGAUAAAAAAUUUAAAUUCAAGAUCAGAUAUACUGAUCUUACUCUAAAUAGUUAAAAUAAUUUUCUAUAAAAUUUUUAUCGGAUUUGGAUUGUUUUACACCGUUAAACUCUCAAACACACCACAUCGGCCAUUAAAAUUAUCAAUUUUGAGAUCUUUUGAUCACUAGUCAAAGAAUUUAGUUUCCAAAUACUUUCAAUAGUGUAGAUCAAGUCUAACGGAGCCGAUCGUCGAUUUGGAAGCCGCAUCAUCGAAAACAACUUGGUAGCACGGAGCGUUCCGUGCUACCGAUAGUAUAGUAGCCGGACUCUAUAUAUAUAUAGGUAUAAUUAAUCAGAUGUACAUAUAACUCAUCAUAUGUAUAGUAUUAAUUAAUUAAUUAACUUUUCAACAAACUUUAAUUUUUGUUGGACGUGAUCCGCGCGCCAGGGACCAGCUGUAGACUACAAGAAAUUAGAACACAAAUGCAUUAAAAAGUUUGUAUUUUCUUCUUCUUCUUUUUUCUUUUUUUUUUUUUGACUAAAAUUACAGUUCUCUUAUAAAUAUUUAUUUUUUUAUCCCUAUUUUUUUAAAAAAUUAAUAUUUUACUCUCUUAAUAUUUUGUAUGUUGGUGCAUUAAUUUAGCCCCUCUCAGUCAGGUGUCCAUCAUUAUUCCAUUCAUUUUUUUAUAAUUUAUACAGAAAAUAUUCUUCAAAAUAACAAAAAUAUUUUCAAAAAUUAUUCUUUCUAUAGAAGAAGUAAGGGUAAUUUAAUUAUUUUGUCCUCUUCAUUAACGUCGUAAUUCUUUGAAAAUAUUUUCCCAAAUUUCAAGAGGACAAAAUACAGAUUUUAAAAAUCAUAAAGGAAAAAUGAAAAAAUGAGUAUUUACAGUAAGUUUUUUUUUUUUUUUUUGUAAUUUAGCCUAUUUAUUAUAUAUUUUUAUUAAAUCUUUCAAACUCUAUUAAGAAACUUAUUAAUAAUUUUUAAAAAUAGUGGAAUUCUAAUAAGCUAUGUUACCGAUAAGAGGACUGUAAUAAUCAUUAUCAAUAUUUUAAUUAUUAUCACCAUACGACACGGUAAAUACGAUCCGUUUCGAUGGGCACUUAAAUCAAUCUUGGGUUAUAACCCACCCCAUU
Molecule: long non-coding RNA, 1325 nt
Filed under: Ananas comosus (pineapple)
Lineage: Eukaryota; Viridiplantae; Streptophyta; Magnoliopsida; Poales; Bromeliaceae
Description: long non-coding RNA (ACOM_LNC013764)
Source: RNAcentral